UGAAGAAUCUUAGAUUUUCUUAAUGUUCUGGCGAACAAUCAGCAAUGCUGCAACAGGGAUGUUGCAGCAAGCAAAAGCCGUAGCAUGGACGCUGCGUCUUUUGCGGUUGCGGGCAUAGAUAAAAUGCUGGCAGAACAUUUAGAAAAUAUUAGAUUCGGA
This 159-nucleotide non-coding RNA is filed under the name bovine gut metagenome. The record is from RNAcentral.